This is a long non-coding RNA of Sardina pilchardus (European sardine), 318 nucleotides long. RefSeq lists it as uncharacterized. The transcript has 3 exons. NCBI's taxonomy places the organism in Eukaryota, Metazoa, Chordata, Actinopteri, Clupeiformes, Clupeidae. The record is from RefSeq and is a predicted model, not a curated record.
UGGGAGUGAAUGUACGCUCACUGGGCUGGAGUUAUUUGAACAUCCGGUCCUUCAGUUUUUUGAAAAGAAGACGGACGCCAUUGAAGUUCAGCGCGGGAUAUGAAAAGGGUCGGCACCGUGGACUAAAAAAGUAUCUCAAACUGCAGCCUGUUCUUUUGAAAGUUUCAUUGAAGAAUUUGCGCUAGUAGAUUCUUCUACUCCAAAUUCCUCACUUUUGAGUGGAGUGGUAUGGGGUGAUAUGGACUCUUCAAACAAGGCACAUCAAUCCACUGGUGCAGGAGGCGAGAACACCUGCCACAGGAGAUGCAGCAGAGAAGG